This 230-nucleotide long non-coding RNA is filed under the name Volvox carteri. RNAcentral's name for it is "long non-coding RNA (VCAR_LNC002369)". The record is from RNAcentral. Lineage: Eukaryota; Viridiplantae; Chlorophyta; Chlorophyceae; Chlamydomonadales; Volvocaceae.
CCUCCUUCAUCGUUGACCAAAAGUCAGAACAUGCCAAAAUCACACACCUGGAAUCUGAUGGGCGCCCAGCUAUAUCAAGAAUGUGUCGAUGAAUUAAAGAGUCAAAAUAUUAGUACACCUAAGCUGCAACCCAGCUGCAGGAGAUAAAGCUAUCGCGAAAUAGCACGUCUGAAAAAAGUAGAGAUUCAAGAGCUGCAGGAUCACCCUCGCUAUUUUUUUAUUAGAGAGUU